GCCCCUAUAGCUCAGGGGAUAGAGCGUUGCCCUCCGAAGGCGAAAGCGCAGGUUCGAGUCCUGCUAGGGGCA
This 72-nucleotide transfer RNA is filed under the name Rhodoluna sp. RNAcentral's name for it is "tRNA-Arg". It matches the Rfam family "tRNA". From Rfam's summary of the family: Transfer RNA (tRNA) molecules are approximately 80 nucleotides in length. Their secondary structure includes four short double-helical elements and three loops (D, anti-codon, and T loops). The record is from RNAcentral. Lineage: Bacteria; Bacillati; Actinomycetota; Actinomycetes; Micrococcales; Microbacteriaceae. RNAcentral also lists the same sequence under 1 other name.